GUUGAGAUGAGUCUUCCCAUAUCAGUUAGCUUCAGAUUGUUCCUCAUUUAUGUCCAAGGCCUAUCUCCAUGUGAUUCUAGAGUCUAUCAAGUUGACGAUGAAUAGUGUUACAUUAGUACGAGCUAGAAUUAAAGUGGACAGGGAUUUUCAUUAACUCCUAGAAUAUUUAUGGUCUGGGGUUGAUGGUUACUGUUCUGAUUUUAAAGAUCGGGUCUCUCUCUGUAACCCAGGCUGUCCUUGUGGAGACACACCUACCUCCAGCCCCUGAGUGGUGAGAUGACAGGUGUGAACCCCGUACCCAGCCAUUCCUGUGAUUUUGAAAACUUCCCAUUGUUGCAGGGGAAAAAAAGAUUGUUGCAGAAGCACUUGUUAGUGUUCUUCUCCACAGCCUUAUUAUCUAAGCCUAAGUGAGCAGAACUGAAGCGCUGCUGACUCCUCUGCCUUGACCAUUGAGCUUACUUCUGUAAGAACUCACUUAGAAAAGCACUCGAGUCUCUAAUCAGACACAGCUAACAUUAUAUGUAUGCUUUGGACAUUGUGCAGGCAUGCUUCCAGAAGAGCGGUGCCUCCGUGGUUGCUAUCCGGAAGUACAUCAUUCAUAAGUACCCUUCUCUGGAUCUGGAGAGAAGGGGCUAUCUCCUCAAGCAAGCACUGAAAAGAGAGUUAAACAGAGGAGUCAUCAAACAGGUAGGAGACACCACGGUAGAAAAUGAGAGUACGUCAUGUCUGCUGUGUGAAGUGCAUUUCUAACAAGAGUUAAGUGCACCCUGCUGUUGUUAAAGGU
This 784-nucleotide long non-coding RNA is filed under the name Rattus norvegicus (Norway rat). RNAcentral's name for it is "long non-coding RNA NONRATT022782". Lineage: Eukaryota; Metazoa; Chordata; Mammalia; Rodentia; Muridae. The record is from RNAcentral.